CUCACUUCUCAGCCUUUUAUCUAAAGUCAAGGGUAGUUUCUGUUCUCAUCAAAUUAAUUGCUGAUAGGUUCUCUACUCAAAAACAAUAUACUAAAUGGGUUUUUAGAAAUAGGUGAUGGAAUAGGCACUUGCUCCAUCUAUUCUUCGUAUCAUGAUGUUUCUGGAAUUCUUGGAGGUAUCAUAGUACCUCCA
Nannospalax galili (Upper Galilee mountains blind mole rat) is the source of this 192-nucleotide small nuclear RNA. Its record names the gene U2. It matches the Rfam family "U2 spliceosomal RNA". From Rfam's summary of the family: U2 is a small nuclear RNA (snRNA) component of the spliceosome (involved in pre-mRNA splicing). The record is from Ensembl. Lineage: Eukaryota; Metazoa; Chordata; Mammalia; Rodentia; Spalacidae.